GGUGACGGUGGUUACAGAGAUAAAAAUAGAAUCUUGAGUCUGACUCAAAGACAAAACACGAUGUAAACAGCACUUGCCUGUCCGUGUUCUGGCUUCCCCGUCCCUUCCCUGCAUCGCCAGGGCACUGCCCAGCAAGGCUGGCACGCAGGGGGGUGACCGGACAAGACGAGCCCGGGGCUUCCAGGGGACGUAAUGCCAUUUCUUGGCCGUAAGGAGCUAUCUCCUACAAUACCAAAGGGUAUGCGAGGAAAGAUUUUAAGAUCGGAGUAAAUAAACCCACACUUUAAUGAUCCUUCUGGUCCAGCUUUACCAAGUUCUGUUUUGAAAGUUGACACUCACACUCUAGAUGUCAUGUUUGCUUCCUAAAGCGGGACUGCGUGUUCCCAAGUGGACACGGGCAGUGUGCAGCGCGGCCCGGGCCCAGGGGGAGGAGGACGGGGGGCAGCGUGUGCCCACCUAGGCAGCGGAGCCUCCCCUCAGCUUCCUGAAAUGCGACAGUCCAGCUGCUAAAACAGAAGGUCCCAAUCGGAAGACGAGAGGGCACCAACCGGCCCGGUGUGGCAUGAUUAACCUUCCAGAACACACAAGAGAUGAGCCUGCUUCUUCUAGGAUGGCCACAGUACCUCUGACUUUGGAACAAGCAAUUCAGACUCACCACGUUGUGGUUCGCUCGUGUGUCUUCUCUGCCCGGGGGUUAGAUGAUGCAGUUCCCGGGCGAGCAAAGGAGGAUUCGAGUGGAAGGGAAAGCAGGGGACGCUGGAGGAUGGGAGGUUGCGGUCAGAGCGGGAUGCCCAGCACGAUCUCUGAGUCUGAGCAGCUCUGGGCAAAGCCCAGAGGAGGCCAGGACAGCAAGGCGAUAUUGGACCAACUACGUGGACCAGGAAUGAGACCGUAGCAUCACCUUGAUGAAAAGGACGAAGAAAUGUUGAAACUCCCAAAGAAGCAAUUAAAUGGCAGAUUUCUUUUUCUUUAGUUCAAAGUUAUGAUAAGCAACAAUAGCAUCAUCCACUAAAUAACAUAUUCAUUAUAAACGUAACAUUUUCCAUACAGAAACCUGGAACCAUGAAUGAGAAGACGUAGAAAAAGAAGAAUAAAACUCACAGAGGGAUGAGAUCA
Molecule: long non-coding RNA, 1116 nt
Filed under: Felis catus (domestic cat)
Lineage: Eukaryota; Metazoa; Chordata; Mammalia; Carnivora; Felidae
Description: lncRNA (ENSFCAG00000045056.2)
Source: RNAcentral